This 495-nucleotide ribosomal RNA is filed under the name uncultured bacterium. RNAcentral describes it as "partial 16S ribosomal RNA". It matches the Rfam family "Bacterial small subunit ribosomal RNA", at positions 28 to 507 of the family's 1533-position model. The record is from RNAcentral.
GACGAACGCUGGCGGCGUGCCUAAUACAUGCAAGUAGAACGCUGAAGGAGGAGCUUGCUUCUCUGGAUGAGUUGCGAACGGGUGAGUAACGCGUAGGUAACCUGCCUUGUAGCGGGGGAUAACUAUUGGAAACGAUAGCUAAUACCGCAUAAUAGUAGAUGUCGCAUGACAUUUGCUUAAAAGUUGCAAUUGCAUCACUACCAGAUGGACCUGCGUUGUAUUAGCUAGUUGGUGAGGUAACGGCUCACCAAGGCAACGAUACAUAGCCGACCUGAGAGGGUGAUCGGCCACACUGGGAAUGAGACACGGCCCAGACUCCUACGGGAGGCAGCAGUAGGGAAUCUUCGGCAAUGGACGGAAGUCUGACCGAGCAACGCCGCGUGAGUGAAGAAGGUUUUCGGAUCGUAAAGCUCUGUUGUAAGAGAAGAACGAGUGUGAGAGUGGAAAGUUCACACUGUGACGGUAUCUUACCAGAAAGGGACGGCUAACUACGUG